RNAcentral lists this ribosomal RNA (253 nucleotides) under uncultured bacterium. RNAcentral's name for it is "partial 16S ribosomal RNA". It matches the Rfam family "Bacterial small subunit ribosomal RNA", at positions 524 to 776 of the family's 1533-position model. The record is from RNAcentral.
UACGAAGGGGGCUAGCGUUGCUCGGAAUCACUGGGCGUAAAGCGCACGUAGGCGGGUUCUUAAGUCGGAGGUGAAAUCCUGGAGCUCAACUCCAGAACUGCCUUCGAUACUGGGAAUCUAGAGUUCGGGAGAGGUGAGUGGAACUGCGAGUGUAGAGGUGAAAUUCGUAGAUAUUCGCAAGAACACCAGUGGCGAAGGCGGCUCACUGGCCCGAUACUGACGCUGAGGUGCGAAAGCGUGGGGAGCAAACAGG